GGGUGAGUAACGCGUGAGUAACCUGCCUUACACAAGGGGAUAGCCGUUGGAAACGACGAAUAAUACCCUAUGAAACUAUCACUUCGCAUGAAGCGAUAGUCAAAGUGUUAGCGGUGUAAGAUGGACUUGCGUCUGAUUAGCUAGUUGGUGAGAAAAAAGCCCACCAAGGCAACGAUCAGUAGCCGGCUUGAGAGAGUGUACGGCCACAUUGGGACUGAGACACGGCCCAG
Molecule: ribosomal RNA, 230 nt
Filed under: uncultured Eubacteriales bacterium
Lineage: Bacteria; Bacillati; Bacillota; Clostridia; Eubacteriales
Description: uncultured Clostridiales bacterium partial 16S ribosomal RNA
Rfam family: Bacterial small subunit ribosomal RNA
Source: RNAcentral